Molecule: ribosomal RNA, 492 nt
Filed under: uncultured bacterium
Lineage: Bacteria
Description: partial 16S ribosomal RNA
Rfam family: Bacterial small subunit ribosomal RNA
Source: RNAcentral
AGUGAACGCUGGCGGUAGGCCUAACACAUGCAAGUCGAACGGCAGCACAGUAAGAGCUUGCUCUUACGGGUGGCGAGUGGCGGACGGGUGAGGAAUACAUCGGAAUCUACUUUUUCGUGGGGGAUAACGUAGGGAAACUUACGCUAAUACCGCAUACGACCUACGGGUGAAAGCAGGGGAUCUUCGGACCUUGCGCGAUUGAAUGAGCCGAUGUCGGAUUAGCUAGUUGGCGGGGUAAAGGCCCACCAAGGCGACGAUCCGUAGCUGGUCUGAGAGGAUGAUCAGCCACACUGGAACUGAGACACGGUCCAGACUCCUACGGGAGGCAGCAGUGGGGAAUAUUGGACAAUGGGCGCAAGCCUGAUCCAGCCAUACCGCGUGGGUGAAGAAGGCCUUCGGGUUGUAAAACCCUUUUGUUGGGAAAGAAAAGCAGCAGGUUAAUACCCCGCUGUUCUGACGGUACCCAAAGAAUAAGCGCCGGCUAACUUCGUG